RNAcentral lists this long non-coding RNA (210 nucleotides) under Lathyrus oleraceus (garden pea). RNAcentral's name for it is "Pisum sativum (pea) long non-coding RNA (PSAT_LNC039918)". Lineage: Eukaryota; Viridiplantae; Streptophyta; Magnoliopsida; Fabales; Fabaceae. The record is from RNAcentral.
UUCGCCAAAGUGCCCGUCGAAGGUCUAAAAACUCCAAUUUCCGGUGAGGAAUUUUUUUUGCUUCCUUUAUUUUUUCAUUGAUUCAUGUUGCUUGUUGCAUGUUUACUGCUUUUCCUCCCUCAAUUGAUGUAACAUUUCUUGUAAUUUCACAAAUAUUGAAGAAAAGAGGGGUUAAGUUUUAUUUGGGGGAAAGUCCAAUCGUAACUUUUG